GUAAUGUACAGCACUAAGGUAUUUUACCAUUAUUUACCCCAUUCAUACAGGUAAUCUUACGGUAAGUACUUUGUUCCAGGGUACUACAGCCAGGGGUGAGAUUCAAACCUGCAUCCUUUGGAGCCAAAGGCAGCAGCUCGAACCACUACACCAACAGCUGGAUUUGUACAACGGGGUAAAUCAGUGUAAACACCUUAACCGAGGGUACAGCGACCCAAGGGCUCAAACCGCUACGCCACCUGCUGGGCCUGCAUGCAAGGGAUCUCUGCUGGUUCCCAGAGACACGGGGCCGCGGCCCACGGGUCCUGAGACGGACGGAGGACAAAGAGACACGUGACCCCGGCCUGUGCUGAGACCCGUGACCCGGGUCAUCCCGCCGCAGCGUCGGGAAGAACCCAGAGCGAGCAAAGUGCCGAAGGAGGAGGCGGCUUCCGCGCGCUGCCGCUCUGCGUUGGUUCGGCGAGACGCCGCCGGUUGCGCGAGACGUGACGCUCGUCCCUCUUGCUGUGACCCAGUAACGAGGGUCCCGUCAACAGGAGCCCAUUGUUCUCCCUUCACCUUCAUUCGUUCCGUUUAUUUAUUACUUUUUUUGCUCACAGAUUGCGGCUUGUGCAGAGCUGCCAGAUUCAUUGUGAAAUAAUUAAUAUUUGGCAGAUGGUUCCCUUCGAAGGAGAGCGCCCACACACACACACACACACACACACUACAGCCUAGUUAGGGUAACAUCAACAUUUUUACUCCAGUAACUUUUAGAAGCAGUCAGCUUUCACAAAGGGGUAAGAGCAGGUUACGGUGGGAACUUGAACCCCUGACCUUCUGAUGCACUGACUGUGUUUCGGCACCUCGGCCCGUUUCGGCAAACGUAUCCGGUACGUCUGCGGGCCGCCGUCUCCAUGGAAACAGCACAUCAUGCGGCUGCAGGAAGCGAUUAGUGCGUGCGGCACGCCGAUCGACGGCCAAGGGGGAGCAGUGUGAGGAGGCCCGUCACGCCGAGCUCCAG
Molecule: long non-coding RNA, 1000 nt
Filed under: Scleropages formosus (Asian bonytongue)
Lineage: Eukaryota; Metazoa; Chordata; Actinopteri; Osteoglossiformes; Osteoglossidae
Description: lncRNA (ENSSFOG00015031455.1)
Source: RNAcentral